CGCGGUAAUACGUAAAAGACUAGUGUUAUUCAUCUUUAAUGGGUUUAAAGGGUACUUAGACGGUAUAUUCAGCCAGGGUACUGAUAAACUAGAGUUUUAUGCGAGGGGGUGUGUACUAGUGGAGUAGAGAUGAAAUUCUGUCAUACCAUUAUAACAGGCAACGGCGAAAGCAACCCUUUAUGUAAAAACUGACGUUGAAGGACGAAGGCUCAGUACACCAACAGGAUUAGAUACCCCAGCAGUCUGAGCAGACAAUGAUGAGUGUCAUAGGUAAGAAUUGUCUAUAAAUGAAAGUGUAAGCAUUCCACCUCAAGAGUAAUGUGGCAACGCAAAAACUGAAAUCAUUAGACCGUUUCUGAAACCAGUAGUGAAGUAUGUUGUUUAAUUUGUAGGUACGCAAAGAACCUUACCACAAUUUGUAUAUUUAUUUAUAUUAAAUACAAGAGUUGCACGGCUGUCUUCAGUUAAUGUCGUGA
RNAcentral lists this ribosomal RNA (476 nucleotides) under Lepra aff. amara. RNAcentral describes it as "SSU rRNA". It matches the Rfam family "Bacterial small subunit ribosomal RNA", at positions 516 to 1070 of the family's 1533-position model. Lineage: Eukaryota; Fungi; Ascomycota; Lecanoromycetes; Pertusariales; Pertusariaceae. The record is from RNAcentral.